Molecule: long non-coding RNA, 4553 nt
Filed under: Panax ginseng (ginseng)
Lineage: Eukaryota; Viridiplantae; Streptophyta; Magnoliopsida; Apiales; Araliaceae
Description: long non-coding RNA (PGIN_LNC005563)
Source: RNAcentral
AACAAGGUCAGGGUUAUACCCAAGAUGGCUAUGGUGGGUACCAUGCAUCUGCCCCUCAACCGGGUUAUGGUCCACCCCAGCCAGGUUAUGAUCAACAACAAGGUUACAACUCUACUCCUGGAUAUGGUACCGUUGCCAACCCAACACCUGAAGGGCAAACCCCUUCCUAUGGUGCUCAGGGUGAUGGCAGUCAAGUAAUCCCAUCAACUCAUGGUCAGCAAGGAUACAAUACUAGCCAGCAGCCUAGUCCUAAUCCUAGUUACCCACCCCAAGGACCUACACAGCCAGGUUAUGGCGUUCCUCCAACUUCCCAAGCAGCGUAUGGUACUCAACCACCUUCAGGAUACGGGCCUAGUUAUGCGGCACCGCAGGCUCAGAAACCUGCAGCUGGUCAGGCUGCUUAUGGGCAGCCCCAGCAGUCACCUACUGGCCAAGGGGGCUAUGUCCAGCCUGCUGCUGUGCAGGCAAGUUAUCCUCAUUCUCAGCCACCUCAGGCACAAGCUGGUUAUGCCCAGCCAGAUUCUGCUGCCCAGAGAGCUCCAACAUCUGCUUAUGGUACUGCACAGGCUUCAGGGUAUGCCCCACCAGCAUAUGGUGCAGCACCAGUGACUCAGCCAGGUUAUGGGGGGCAGCAGCCACCACCAUAUAACAGUUCGUAUGGAAGUGGUUAUUCUCAGCCUGCUGCGUAUUCUGCUGAUGGCUCUGCAGCUCCAGCUUCUCAGGCUGUUCCGCCUAGUGGGGUUGCCAAAGCUUCCCCCCAGAGUUGAGAUAUUGUGUGGUAAGCGGAUAAGAAAUUGUGGUCGCAUCUGAUUUUGGAAUUCUGGUGUAAUGUCAUUUAAUAGGGUUUUUAAUUAGGUUUUGUAGUGCAUCAGACUAGUAUUUGUGGUUUAAUGAUUUUGAUUGGAUGGUUUAUAAUGUUUUCUUAUGUACUCUGGCUGCUUUAAGGAUGAUUGUUCUAAGUUUAAAAAUGCAUAUGGGUUGCAGCUUGUCUUCUAUUUAUAUGGAAAUGCUAGAAAUGGAUAGCCAGCAGCAGCAGCAGGGUGAAUGUUUUUCUUUUCUUUAUUGUAGCAUUUAUUACUCCUCCUUACAUUUAAAAUUAAGAUAUCUAUGUAUGUCCUUUGGAACAAACUCUAUUAUCUGAUGGUUUGAAAUGGUAGGUAGGUAGAUAGGUAGGUAGGAGCUAUUAUUCCUCGAAAGCAGCAGUAAUUUCUGGUGGGUCAUUGGAGUGUGGUUGCAGAGGGUGUGCGAUCAAAUUCUCAUUCUCGGGUGCUCACGCAAGUGUAACUAGUUAGUUGUUUAUAUAUAAGGAAGGCGGUGGACGUGGAGUUUUAAAACAUAUUGGGGAUGAUAUCGAUUCGCAAACUUUUAUUUGUUCUGGACAAACCCCCAGUACUUGAACUAAAAUCCUUUUAUAAAGGAAUUAUUUAGGCGGAGUUUUCUUUCUCUUUUAUAUUUUCAAAAUUCAUAAUUAUUUCGUUUUAAAAAGUAUACAUAUAUAUAUAUAUAUAUAUAUAGUUUAAAGUUUGUAUUCUGAUAUGUUAAAUGAAGUAAACAGUUCGAAUUUUAUUUGUAUUUUUCUAUUCGAGCUCGAUUCAAAAUAUAAAUAAUUUAAAUAUGAGUAAAUUUUAUCUUUUUAAAUUAUAAUUUUUUCAAACUCUUCAAAUUUUAUUUUAUACUCAAUUGUGUGAUGCAUUUACCCCCCUUAUUUUGAGUAUUUAUUUAUGAAACCUCCCUUAUCCUAAAAAUGUUGCAGUUAGACUAAUGAAUAUUAUGUUGGUCCACCACGCAAACAACACAAUAAAAAGCCAAAGCGCAUUAAAGUACUACUACACGUUGGCACACGUUUAUAUGUUUUUACAUUAUUUAUUUAAAAAAGUGAAUAUUUAUUUUAUAUGAUUUGAAGAUGUGAGUUCAGAACUUUAUAAUACUCUUCUGGUGGACUUUUCAUAUAUUAAGAAGAUGAAUGAAAUGAUAAAAUUAUCCAUAAUAAUGUUAUUAAAUAUGAAGAGAGAAUUAGAAUAAAAAAAGUAUGAGAUAUUUAAUGUUACGGGUAUCAUAGGAAAAUAUGGGUAAAAGUUUGAUUAUUAAAGGAAAAUAGACAUUUAACAUGAGACUACCAAAAAUAGUAAUAAUGACUUUUAUCAUGGGAUGGAGAGAGUAAUAAAUACUUAUAAAUUUGAAAUNNNNNNNNNNNNNNNNNNNNNNNNNNNNNNNNNNNNNNNNNNNNNNNNNNNNNNNNNNNNNNNNNNNNNNNNNNNNNNNNNNNNNNNNNNNNNNNNNNNNAAUUUUUGUUUAUUGGAUUGAAGAGUAGCCUGUUCACUUGUUCAAUAUAUUAGUCUUGAAUAAAUUUGAUUGGUCAGCUGGAUAUUAUUCUUUCGUCAUGAAUUUUAUACCAGUGAAAUGUUAUGCUUCGGAGCAUAAUUGCGGUUCAAGGUAGCUCUUGGUAUCUUCCCUUGAUCGUUUUCUUAAAUAUGGUGCUUCACUUGCCUAAAUAUUUUUUUGCUUGGAUUUGUAUGAAAUUAAUUGAGUUGUAACCGUGUAUAUAGCUCAUGUUGACCCAUUGUUUCUCUUUUCCCCCUUUACUACAUGUCCUUAUUUUAUUCUUCCACUAUUUUUUAAUCCUCUCUUGAGGGUUUCUCACACGUUUAAAACAAUUGAAUAACAGUUAUCCUAUUUUAUUUAUAAUUCAUCUGAAACCUCUCUUAUUCUCUGUGCUGAUCUCUUUCUAGGGUUUGUUUAUCAUCUCUUUUUAUUGUUUUAAUUGCCUAAAGGUUCUUAUGCAGUUAUAAUCUGUGAAAAGUAUAGGGGUUAAUUGACUAAUUCUUUUUUUGACAUUCAGUCAACUUCUAAGUUCUUGUUAACAAACCUCUCAACAGUUUCCUUUUCGCAUAUUCAAUUCUCGCUGAUCCUGACAUUUCUCUCUAUUGCAUAUUGUGAAGCAAUAGUUACUAGAUAUUUUGUAUUUAGCGGUAUUGCUCGUUUUAGUACAUGUGUUUUUUUACCUGGGAGGUGGUAUUAUGAACGUAAUAAGAUCCUUUGUCCUUUUGUGUAAUACAAUAAUUCUUAUGUUGAUAAUUCAAUUGAUCGACUGGAUGGUCGCUGCAUAUCUUGCUUCUAGUACGAUCUUUGUAUAUGUUUCUGCAAUUUUCUUUUGUACCCAUUCACUUCGAAUAGGGAGAGGAUGGGGCAUCUGCUGGAGUAGCAAUAGUACCACUCAACCAGUACGGUAUGUAGGCGCCUAACUAAAUCCGUCUUAAUACAGUUAUGCACUUCAUCUCCUUGUGUAGUUUUGAUAGUGAAUUGACAUACUGUGCUAUCGUGUUGGUUUCUGGGCAUGUUAUUUUGUAGCUGUGAGUGUAUGUAUAAUGCUUUUAUUCUUUCACAAGGAUAUUUCUUAUAAUUCAUUGGAUUAGGUUCCUUGGUUCAUAUGAGAUAACAACUUUGUGCAGAAUCGUCUUAGAAACCCAUCAAUGACGGGAUAUUCUCAGCAAGGUUACCAAGCUCGACCUCCUACAAACUGGGCCUCUCCUGGUCAGCAACAACCUGGUUAUGGAUAUAUUCAGCCUGGAGCGUAUCCCGGACAGGCACCACAGUAUAAUAUGUCUCAAUCACAGUAUCCUGGUUAUCCUCCGCAACCCGCUUCUGGUGGAUAUGCAGGCUGGGACCAGACCACUGCAGCAACUAAUCAGCAGACUGCUCAGGGAGGCGGCUAUGACUACUACAGCCAGCAAUCAGCUCCACAGCAGCAGCAAGCCCCUGGUGGUGCCUCAGGUCCCGCAGAUAAUGCUGCCUACGGUUACAAUCAGCAAGCAGCGUCUGGUUACAAUCAACAAGGUCAGGGUUAUACCCAAGAUGGCUAUGGUGGGUACCAUGCAUCUGCCCCUCAACCGGGUUAUGGUCCACCCCAGUCAGGUUAUGAUCAGCAACAAGGUUACAACUCUACUCCUGGAUAUGGUACCGUUGCCAACCCAACACCUGAAGGGCAAACCCCUUCCUAUGGUGCUCAGGGUGAUGGCAGUCAAGUAAUCCCAUCAACUCAUGGUCAGCAAGGAUACAAUACUAGCCAGCAGCCUAGUCCUAAUCCUAGUUACCCACCCCAAGGACCUACACAGCCAGGUUAUGGCGUUCCUCCAACUUCCCAAGCAGCGUAUGGUACUCAACCACCUUCAGGAUACGGGCCUAGUUAUGCGGCACCGCAGGCUCAGAAACCUGCAGCUGGUCAGGCUGCUUAUGGGCAGCCCCAGCAGUCACCUACUGGCCAAGGGGGCUAUGUCCAGCCUGCUGCUGUGCAGGCAAGUUAUCCUCAUUCUCAGCCACCUCAGGCACAAGCUGGUUAUGCCCAGCCAGAUUCUGCUGCCCAGAGAGCUCCAACAUCUGCUUAUGGUACUGCACAGGCUUCAGGGUAUGCCCCACCAGCAUAUGGUGCAGCACCAGUGACUCAGCCAGGUUAUGGGGGGCAGCAGCCACCACCAUAUAACAGUUCGUAUGGAAGUGGUUAUUCUCAGCCUGCUGCGUAUUCUGCUGAUGGCUCUGCAGCUCCAGCUUCUCAGGCU